GUCACUGGCAGGUAGAAAAUAUCUCUGGUUGGUGUGUGUGUGUGGUUUCCAUUAACUGGGUGUGUGUCUGGAAUGUGUGCUUGUCGGCCAGUUACUGAUUGCCUUCUGGUGCUUCUUGGGAGGGAGCUCCACAGAUGAGGUGCUGCAUUCUUCCAGACUCUGGGUUUCUUGUGCCCCAGGAUCGUGAAGCUCGGAGCUUCCCAGAGGCUUCUAUGAUCUUCUCAACAGCAAGUUGUGUUCACCAAGCUGCUGGUUAUUCUCUUGGUGACACAGAAGACCACGUUCCAGGCCCCCUCAUUCUCCAUCAGUUGGAUGUGGUCCAGGAAGAACUCUCAGGUCCAGAGGAUGGUGGAAUCACCAGGGGGAAGAAACCAGCAUCCCCGAAUCACUUGUGAAAGGCCACCACUGAAUGUCUGAUAAGACUGUGGUGAGUGGGACAUAAACCUUCAUCAGGCUAAGCUGCUGAGAUUUAAGGUUGUUUUUUACAGUACUUAGACUGCCUGACCCAUACAAGGCGGCUGCAAAAUCUGACUUUCCAAUGGCUGGGAUAUUCUCCUUUUCCUCUGCCUAGACUUCCUCCUCUACAAAAUGGGACACUGAGAGUGCUUGCAUCAAAGGAAUCACGGAACAGUGCCUGAUACCCAUACCACCUUUACCAGAAUACUCUUACUACUACUGCUAUUACCUCUUUUGGAGCCCACCACCCCUAUCCCUGCUGCAGAGCCAUCUUUUGGGAGGAGGAAGCCCAUGAACUGGGUUCAUUCAUGUGCCUGCAGUCAGCUGCUGAGUUGGCUGGGCCUGGCUCAUCUAGGAUGGGAUCAGAUGGGACGGCAAAUCUCUGCUCCACCUGGUCUCUCAUCCACAGCUUUUGAAGGAUUCCAAGAGGUGGAAGUAUGCAAGAACCUCCUGAUGCCUGUGCCCCAGGUUGCAGACUGUCAUUUCUACUUCACUCUUUUGCCUGAAAUGAGUUACAACAACCCAGAUUCAAGCGGAUGGAUCCGUGCCAGAGAAAGGCUGAGGCCGACUCUGCUCCCUUCCUGGCCAGCUGACCUUGGCUUCCCAGAUGGGCCACCGCGAGGGCCUCCCACCCAAGUCUCUGGCAAAGGCAAACUUGUUCCUGUGAUUUAGGGACCUGAGAAAGCUCUUUAACAGGAAACCUCUGCCCUACUGCUACCUCUGAAAUUUCACCAUAAGAGCCUCAUGGGUGACUGUCUACAGUCAACCUUGUUAAAAAUUGUGGUGAAAUGCCCAUAACAUAAAAUUAACCACUUUAAAGGGAGGAAUGCAGUGGUAUUUCUUACAUGCACAACAUCGUAUAACCACCCCUCUGUCUAGUUCCAAAACAUUUCUUCACCCCAAAAGGAAACCCUGUACCCACUAAGCAGUCAUUCGCCAUUUGUCCUCCCUCCAGCCCUUGGCAACCACUGGUCUGCUCUCCAUGUCUAUGGAUCAGACUAUCCUGGGCAUUUUAUAUAAAUGGAACCAUACAAUAUGCGGUCUUU
Manis javanica (Malayan pangolin) is the source of this 1502-nucleotide non-coding RNA. Lineage: Eukaryota; Metazoa; Chordata; Mammalia; Pholidota; Manidae. The record is from RefSeq and is a predicted model, not a curated record.